UGCGCCCCCUGGCGGAGCCCCGCCGGCCACGGCGGCCGAGGAGGGUCAAGGCGCGGAGAGCGCGCGAACGCGGUGCCUCCGGGCCCCCCUGAGCUGUCUAAGCUGUAUUAACUGUAGAUCCUGUAGCAGGGCCUGGCGAUUGGAGCAUGGCAGUGUCUGGAGACUCACACCAAACUUCAAGGUCACGCUCAUCUCAUGUAACUGUAGGGGUCACUCCACCACACCAUUCCUCACUUUUCUUGAGUGGCAAAGGAGUGAUCAGAAGCAUUCAUAUAACACAAGAGAAACGAGCAACACAAGUCUUGUCUUCUGUUAAGCACACUUACAGAAGCCCUCGUCACGGAUAAGUAUUCCACUGUUCUGCUGAUAUGCAAACUCUGAACCAAAAGGUAGCGCCACUUUCAAACAACCUACAGUCUAAGAGAGGAGAGAGCAGAAGGUUUCAAAGGACCGCAAGAACCAGUCCGAGAGAAGAGAUCUUACUAGCCAAGUUUAGAUCUUCUGAUUUUGUGGAUAGAAGCAAUUGAACUUCAUGAGAGGUGAACAACUUUCAUUCCUGGGGCUGGUUUCCCAGAGGGACUGAUGGGCCUCAAUCCCCCUGUACUUCGUCCUCUCUCCAAUUAGCACUCGAGCAACGGGGAAAGAUGCCAUGACAGCUGGAAAUUCAUUCACAUGCUUUUUAAUCACAUGACUCCAGGAACUACAGUCUAGGAAGAACAAUUUAUAUUGUGAGACAUAUAAUAAAUGGUUAGAGUCUAUAACAGUGGGACUACUUAUAUAAAUAAGACUUUGCAAAAUUCAAACAAGGCUAUACUCAGCAACUAUUCAUACCAGUGCAGACCAGUGACUGCGGGAAGAAUUUUAAAUAGUCUGCCCUGCAGUUAGGUAGGCAUCUUCAUUAUUCCUCUGCCCAAAACCAUUAAAUUGUCUACAGUGCGGUAAUUUUAAUCUCAGGUGACAAUUAAAGAAGCUGAUUAGCAAAGUAUCACAAUGCUACCAACUGCAGGAGGCACACUUAAAAUACCAAUGAAUCAACCAAACUGUCCUACCUAGGUGCAUAUGCAUGCUAUGCUGCUCAGGAUAUUACUUUAAUGGCCCUACAGAAAAAAAGGAAUCAAGUCAGCUAAUGUAAUUAGUGGCAGUCAAGCAAGCUAAAUCUUGUUGCAGCUCCCCUGCUGCAGAGGAACUACAUGUGUGACAAAUCUGACCUUGCGAUGCCAAGAUCCACUUGUUCCACGUGCUAUCGUCAAGUUAUUUUGAGGAACUUGUUACUAACGGACACUGACUCAGCAUUAGGAUUGAAAAUAUUUUCUUCAUUUGCAGGUGACACCAGUUAUCUGCCAAACGUAGCAGCAAGUUGUAACUUUGGAGGGUUUUUCUUCCAAAGGGGUUUUCGUGUUAUUCCCUCUCCAUUUCCAAAUGCUGUAGGUCCAUGGCAUUCUGGCUGAAGCUCAGAACAAAAGUCAAGAAAGUCCAUCAUCAUCCAUGGAGUUUCUGUUGCUGUUGAAGAGAGAGAAAAAGCAGGAGGAGAAGAAUUACAAUGUAUUGUUCAAAGUCAGAGGAAGUACUUACCACUUGGAUUACUGGAGCUGUAAGGGGAUUCCAGCUGACAAGAGAAAAAAAAGUGAUUCUAGUAAAGAUGUGAACUCCUCAGAAUGGGAAGUCGUGACAAGUUGGAAAUCGCCAGAAUUGUUUCCCGCUGAGCUCCGCUGUGUAAGCUGUGAAGCAGCAAGGUACUUGGAGAGAUCACCUUUAGUGACAGACCACUAGUGUCCCUCUGGCAAAGGGCUGUGCCUCCUGAAGAUACAAAUGUGGAGGUGGUUCGUGUUGGUGGACAAAGUGGAGCUCCAUGAAACUGUUCAUCUUGGAUCCAUGCUUUC
Phalacrocorax carbo (great cormorant) is the source of this 1880-nucleotide non-coding RNA. The record is from RefSeq and is a predicted model, not a curated record. NCBI's taxonomy places the organism in Eukaryota, Metazoa, Chordata, Aves, Suliformes, Phalacrocoracidae.